Molecule: RNA transcript, 2392 nt
Organism: Numida meleagris (helmeted guineafowl)
Lineage: Eukaryota; Metazoa; Chordata; Aves; Galliformes; Numididae
Exons: 9
Source: RefSeq, a predicted model, not a curated record
CAGACCUCAUUUUAGGGUUGGCAUUGGAGAUCAGGGCAUCUCUUGCUGGAGAUCCCUGUAUACCUGAGGCCUUCCAAAGACAGACUGCUUAGCUCCCUUCACAACUUCCUUCAGCCCACAUCCCUCCAAUAAACAAACAGCUCUGAUUCCCGUGAGCAGGAACCACUCUACAUACCCUGUUGUACAGGCUCAUCUUGAAGUUCUGGAAGAAGUACCACUUGUGAGCUUCACUGGACGGCAAGCUCUUGUACUUCAUCACAGCAUCAUAGCCAAAUUUUGUGAACUCCUGAUUCUGGUUGAACAGGAUGCAGGUGGGAGUCUUCGGGGUCUUGUACCCAUGCUCCAUUCCCCAGAACACCUGGCGGAUUUGGUCUGUGCCUGUAGCAAGGGAAAAACAGUACCCACUGUAGGAUGUGCCAAAAUCUAUAGAAACAACAAAGACUGAACUGCUGGCCAUAGCUGACAGCAGCACAGAGCUGCACAGUGCUCGAGUUACAGAGAACUACAACUAUCCAACAGGAACGAAGCCAGUACUGCUCUGGCAGCAGCAAGAAGCCAGCCCAUCCCUGUCUCAAUUGGCUGGGAAGAGAUUAGAGUGUGACUACAGUUACAAGAAUAACUGCUAUUUCCCGUAAAAAGGAGGAGCUGAAGCUCACAGUAGGAAAGCAAGUGCCUGAUAUUCACAGUAGCUUCCUGCGCACUCAGCAGCACAGUCCCUUGUGUUGCUGCUCAUUUGGGCAAACAUUUUUUCCUGCUGUAAGAGCAUGGAUAGCUUUAUGGCUGACUUCUACAGCCAAGAUGAGAUCUCUGAAGGAGAGUAUGUGGAUGCUGAUCCUAGACAGGCGACUUCAGAAGAUGUCAGUAGAGAAACAUUUAAUACCCCACAGCAAAAAUCAAUCUGUGGAAGCAAUACUUCAGAGAAGGAUACACUAAAACUUAAUGAAAGGCUGGAGCAGGUGGAAAAAGAACUUUGUGAGAACAGAUCUUGGCGUGAUCAUGUUGAGGCUCGACUGCAAGCUCUGGAGAAGCCCAAGAGUGUAUAUCCUGGAAUGGUCAUCCAAAAAGGGGUUCAAGAGAAAGAAGAAUGUGAGAAGCUCAAAGAGAAGAUCAGAGAGCUAGAGGCACGAUACCAAAAGCUCUUGUCUAAAGCAAUGAGCACGCACAAGCAGUCAGAGAACAUGAAUGACCCUUUGCGUUUGUCUGCUGUGCUGGAUAUGUAUAGGAUGCUUAAGCUACAAGAAUGGGGGAAAUGCUGGCACAGCUCAGCCCGUUUGUCCUAUCCAAGGGCCAGAAACAUCAUCCAGAAGAACACAUUCAAAUCCCAGUCCCAUAUCUCAUCCAUGUUAAGGAAAACGUAGUCCAGUUUCCUCAUGGUUGACACCUUAAGUACUGUAUGGGAGAUCCCAGUCUGAUGGCUGACUCUUUGCUCUGAUCCUGAGGGUGUCUAAAGGAAAGUAUCAAAAUGGUGAAAUUUAAAGGACGAGGCUGAGGUGAAGCAUUUAUUAGCAUAUGGAUGCUGAAGAAUGGCCUUCAACAUGCAAACAGCUCACAGAAGUAGUUUAUUUCCCAGGUAUUAACGAUGUGUUUGAGUCAAUUAGGGAUCCUACAGUUUACUGGGAUUCAGAUGUUGUUUUGGCCCAUGCUUCCCACACCAUGCUUCUCAUUUCACUGUGAUUGCUGUUGUGAUCAGAUCUUCUCUUUGCAUUACAGAAGCUGUUUGAUGCCUGUGAGAGAGAUAUCGAGAAGAGAAAAAUUGGCAUACUUCAAAUCCUUGGCAUUCCAUCUUUGUAUUAUGCUGCAAACAGCUGCAAACAAGAGCUGAUGCUAGAUAUAGUGAAACUCUUGAGAUACGGUUAUUACCAUAACGACUCAAGCAUUUGCAGGGAAAUUACUAUGAACGCUGAUCUUCAUCUGAAAAUUACGGAUCAAAAGGAAUUUGCACUGCAGUGCUGCAGAGUUUUCUGUCUGCUGCUUCUUCAGGACUCACCAGUUAAAGCUGUGUGGAACCUAUAUGAAUGCUCUCUGCAACAUUUAGAGCAUGUGGACCAGAAAGACUUAAAGUACUGUAAAAAAACAGAGCUUCAAAUUCUAUGGCCCGUACUGAAGGAUGGGGAAGAAGUCAUUGAGAAAGGUGUAGUGUGGGAUGGAAACUAACAAGGCUUUAAUAUCAAGCUUAUACUUAUAUGACCAUAAGAAGAUGAAACAGCUGUUGUGCAAUUUGUUGCUUUUCUUUCUCCUAUGAGCAGCCUGCUUUUCAUAUCUAGUUACAUGUUUCUGGCUUGGGACACCAUGAAUAAACUGUUAUUGACAAACAGCUAUUAAAAAGUGAAAGUUUGCCUUUGUUACAUUUUAUGUAACUUUGAUUGUCACUAUCUCUAAACAGCAUUUGUGU